Molecule: non-coding RNA, 5239 nt
Organism: Podarcis lilfordi (Lilford's wall lizard)
Lineage: Eukaryota; Metazoa; Chordata; Lepidosauria; Squamata; Lacertidae
Source: the annotation of a GenBank genome assembly
AAUGCAUGGGUAGGCAAACUAAGGCCCAGGGGCCGGAUCCGGCCCAUUCGUCUUCUAAUUCCAGCCCGUGGACGGUCUGGGAAUCAGUGUAUUUUUACAUGAGUAAAAACUGACAAACUGGAACGUGUCCAGAGAAGGGCAACCAAAAUGGUCAAAGGCCUGGAAACGAUGCCUUAUGAGGAACGGCUAAGGGAGCUGGGCAUGUUCAGCCUGGAGAAGAGGAGGUUAAGGGGUGAUAUGAUAGCCAUGUUCAAAUAUAUAAAAGGAUGUCACAUAGAGGAGGGAGAAAGGUUGUUUUCUGUCCCAGAGAAACGGACACGGAGGAAUGGAUCCAAACUACAAGAAAGAAGAUUCCACCUAAACAUUAGGAAGAACUUCCUGACAGUAAGAGCUGUUUGACAGUGGAAUUUGCUGCCAAGGAGUGUGGUGGAGUCUCCUUCUUUGGAGGUCUUUAAGCAGAGGCUUGACAACCAUAUGUCAGGAGUGCUCUGAUGGUGUUUCCUGCUUGGCAGGGGGUUGGACUCGAUGGCCCUUGUGGUCUCUUCCAACUCUAUGAUUCUAUGAUUCUAUGAGUAGAAUGUGUGCUUUUAUUUAAAAUGCAUCUCUAGGUUAUUUGUGGGGUAUAGGAAUUCGUUCAAUUUUUCUCUCCAAAAUAUAGUCCAGCCCCCCACAAGAUCUGAGGGACAGUGGACCAGCCCCCUGCUGAAAAAGUUUGCUGACCCCUGAUCUAAUGAAUGUCCCUGGCCACAUACAAAUGAAUACUUCAGUGAACACAUAAACUCCCCACGAUACACAUUUUUCACUGGACUGACUGUGGCAUGUUUGUUCCAUGGCAUGUAAUGUGGUAUUGAUUGUAUGAUUCUGGACUUGGCUUGAUUUCCCAGUUUGACCCAUAAUGAGUGAAUUUCUAGAUUACACAUCCUUUGUAUCCCAUCCAUCUAGUCCAUCAACCUGGUGACCUUCUAUCCGAGGCUCUUAAGUCUUUUCCAUGUUCCUUCUGCAGGUCUUCUUCAUGUUUAUACCUGCACUUUACUUUAUCUUCUGCUGAUCUUAUUCUUAAUUUCUUUCCUUUCUCACUGAGGGGUAGAUCUCGGGGAGACUCCAACUUGACAAUAUCUUUAUCCCUUGUCAACAAGUCAGCCCAUUCUCCAUAGUCGACACUGGAAUCCAAAAGAUAUUUGAGGGCAUGUUUCAAAGUCCCUCCAAGGUUAAGGGCCCCCACAACUCCAAGCUCCCCCUGGCCCAAAGCCAGAUCCGAAAAGUCAAAACAUCCCUGCAUAGGGGGAUCUAUUCAACUUCCUAUCUCCAGACCAAAUAGUACUCCAUCUCUUCAAAUCUGACUUUCUCCAGGUUCAGUCGUCAAAAACAGCAACUUAUGUUCCUGCAAGGCCGCAGCUUUCUCCAUUUCUGGUACUUGAGGUUCAGCAACUACCUCCUCCUUUAUCUUCUUCACCACUUGCUCUGUCAAAGCACAUUCCUGGGUUAAUUCCUGAGUGGUUUCUAUAUAAGGAUUCACUGUUUGUCCAAAAUUUCCAACUGCAACAGUCAUCAAAUCCAUCUUCUCAUGUAGCUGUUCCAGUAAAGCACUUGUCUUGCAAAAGGCAAGCACUAAAGCUUCUUCUGGGCACAUUCUUGUUCAAGGUCAAUGUCUGGUCUCACGAUCUUUAAUCUCUACAGCUGCAGAAUUCCCAGAUCGACUCUAACAACAGUUUCACAAGCUCCCUCUAGAGGAAACAAUUUCUAUUUGUAUCCAUCUUUUUAAAAGCAGAUCUAGCAACAAAGUUCCUUUCGUUUUCCAGUUAUUUUGUUCCUUUUAAGUACAAAAGGGAACAUUGGAAUCAAUAUGUUUCUCUUUUUUAACUAUCUGUCAAAAACGUUUUCUCCACAGUCAAUGAACUUCCCCAAAGUGUCUGUCUCUGACACCCCGCUCCCAGGAUCAAGACGGUGGAAAUUUAUCUUUCUUUACUCUCUCUUCUGCAGGUUUAAACAGUCUAAAAAGAUUCCCCCCUCUUCUCCUGCUUCCAAGGGGGGUUUAGUAAAUUUUAGCUGGUGGAAAUUUAGUCCUUUACAAACGACUUUCUAGACUCUAGUUUGCAACGUCUUUGCUUCAAUCUAUUUACAAAAGUGGAAGGCGGACUUCUGGGUUAGCGCCUCCGGCAAUGGCGGAUUUCCUCUGAUCGGGAGGAAACCCGAGACCAGGAAGAAGAGAUGAUGGAUGAAGAUUGGAAGAAAGUUUUAAAAAUUUAUUUAGAAAAUCAUUGUAAAAUUAAUGAGUAUUGGAAAAAUGUUGGAAUGAAACUAUUUGGCUUUAAUAGAAAUGUUAAAAAGAAUUAUGUAUAAAUAUGUUUUGUUAAAAAGAAUUAGGUAUAAAUAAGAUUUAAGUUUUAAGCUUUAGGGCUUUUUAUGGUAAGAUAAGGUUAAAAUAGAUUAAGGUAAUUUAAUGACAGAAUAUUGUGAAAGAUGGAAAGGAUUUGCUGAGAUAAUUAAUAACUAGAAUACAAAAAAGGGAGGUGUGAGGAGGUCGAUGAAACAAGUUAAUGAAAGAUAAAGAUUUGGGAAUAUUGGAUUUGUUUUUAAUUUUUUUGUUUAUUUUUGUUUUUUGGAUUCUGAUGUAUUGUGUGUUUUGUUUUUUGUCUUUGACUUUUGUUUUUAUUGACUUGCAUUGUUUAAUUUCUCUUUUUGUCUACCUUUUUUCCUUUUUUUCUUCUUGUUUUUUUUUCCUUUUUAUAUCUGUAACUUUAAAUUCUCAAUAAAUAUCAUUUUUUUAAAAAAGAAUUUCUAGAUUACACAUAAUGACAGCCAAAUAUUGUUUAUUUAUUAAAUUUGUGUAACACCCUUCCUUCAAAGAGCACAGUACAGUUCAUACCAUAAAAAUACAAAAUGAGAACACAAAAUACAUAAUAAAACAAACACAAACCAAUAACCGCCCCCCCUCCCACGAACACAUUUAAAAGUACAUGGGAUGCUAAUCAGCCUGAUAAAAGAUGAACAUUUUCACCUGGCAGUAGGCAAGCCUCCCUGGGGAGAGAAUUCUACUACGAAGGAGCCACCACAGAAAAGGCUCAUUCUUGUGUUACCAUCCUCCGAACCUCUCAUGGAGGGCUUCAGAUUAUGAUUGCAGGGUCUUGGUUAGUUCAUAUGGAGGGAGGUGGUCCUCCCAUAUGUAAACGUUAAAAAGCACAGAUGUUUAAUAACAUUGAACUCUGAAGACCCUCACGUUGAAGGCUCCACAGGGCCAAAGAACCUUCCCCAAGCAUCAUCUUCUGGAAACAACCAGUCAAGUAGGACCAGAACCACUGUGAAGCGGUGCCACCCACACCUAACUUGGACAGUUGCUCCAGAAGGAUGCCACGGAGGUGUUAGAAUUCCUGAUCUAUGAUUGCAGUCAUAGGAUUGUUGUCUUUCACAUGACGGUAUAUUUUGACUCCACAGAGUGGGAUGUGACGGAAACAGGAUGUUUGUGUUACUGUGUUCCGUGAAGUGGGACUAUUGUCCUUUGUUCUUUUUCUCUUUGCUGUCUGAUGCUAGAGAGAGAGGGAGCCAUGUUGCAGUGCUCCGUGUGUGUUUAUAUGUAAAUAAAGUAGAUUAGCCAAAAUGCUGAGUUGCUGAGGUCUGUUACGCAAAGCUGCGAAGACUCUGCAGAUCUCUAAGUGUGCCGGUGUCAGCUGGCAUCAGUCACUGUGAUGUUCGGGCUGAAGAAAGCUUAUGAAGCUCCUGAACGAUCAACCAGGAGGGAGGGAACAUGCCAGUUGGGCAUGUGUCUCUGCCAGAGUCCUACUCGAGUGAAGGCUGAACUCCUGACAGGAGGAUGGUAUCAAAAGCCACUGAGAGGUCGUGGAAAAUUAACAGGGAUGCAUUUCUGUUGUCUUCUCUCCCACCAGAGGUCAUCCUACAGGGCAACCAAAGCCAUUUCUGUGUAAAAACCGGGCCUAAACCCCAACUGAAAUGGAUCUAGGAGAAUGGUUUCCUCCAAGAGCGCCUGGAUCUUGGAGGACAACAGCAAACCACCUCUCUCUACUGACAAUAUUCAUCAACCUUCAGGCCCUUGAUUUCUAACAAUGUCUGGCCAACCUUGCAUCCAAGGGUUUCUCUUGCUUAACCUGCACAAGUAUUUCCAUCGUACAGUCCAUGGUGCCAAUAACAAGACUCUAUAAACAUUUAUUUAAGGACGCGGGUGGCGCUGUGGGUAAAACCUCAGCGCCUAGGACUUGCCGAUCGCAUGGUCGGCGGUUCGAAUCCCCGCGGCGGGGUGUGCUCCCGUCGUUCGGUCCCAGCACCUGCCAACCUAGCAGUUCGAAAGUACCCCGGGUGCAAGUAGAUAAAUAGGGACCGCUUACCAGCGGGAAGGUAAAUGGCGUUCCGUGUGCUGCGCUGGCUCGCCAGAUGCAGCUUGUCACGCUGGCCACGUGACCCGGAAGUGUCUGUGGACAGCGCUGGCUCCCAGCCUAUAGAGUGAGAUGAACACACAACCCUAGAGUCUGGCAAGACUGGCCCGUACGGGCAGGGGUACCUUUACCUUUUUAUAAACAUUUAUGCUACUGCCUGUUUCUGUCCUCCCACUGGUGGUUUUCACCAGUUCCCCAUUGCAGCUGCCAACACCAUCUCACAUACUGUUUGUGGGGCUCCCCAACCCACCAGAACAGUUUUUUUGCGGGGGGGGGGGGUGUUGCUGCAGUGGGAAGGAAAAAUGGCCCUGCUGGAUCAAAGUCACUGAGUUCAGCUAUGCUAGUACAUGUGCAAAAGAAAUUAUUUUAAUUGAAUUAGUGUUUAGUACAGUGGUACCUUGGUUUCCAAACUUAAUCCAUUCCGGAAGUCUGUUCCAAAACCAAAGCAUUCUAAAACCAAGGCGUGCUUUCCCAUAGAAAGUAAUGCAGAAUGGAUUAAUCCGUUCCAGACUUUUAAAAACAACCCCUAAAACAGCAAUUUAACAUGAAUUUUACUAUCUAACGAGACCAUUGAUCCAUAAAAUGAAAGCAAUAAUCAAUGUACUGUACUAUAAAAUAAGUAAGACAGAACUGUAGAUGAUAAAAUAAUAAUAAUAAUAAUAAUAAUAAUCUUAUGUGCACUGAUGAUAGUCAUUGUUUGGGGGGGGGUAUCCAUUUCUUCAGUCACACAAUCAAUCAAUCAAUCAGUAGCUGAACUGGGUUCCACACAGUCACAAAAACAAAUCACAAAAACGAAGUCACAAGCCACAGUCAUAAAAACGGAGUCAUAAGCAACAGUCACAAGUCAGUCCCAU